UCCAAGGCUUUAUUAAAAGCUACUGCUUUAAAAAAAAAUGUAUUU
This is a non-coding RNA of Bos taurus (domestic cattle), 45 nucleotides long. The record is from Rfam. Lineage: Eukaryota; Metazoa; Chordata; Mammalia; Artiodactyla; Bovidae.